ACAGUACAAACUGAUCAGGCGGCAUCUGGAAGCAGAUGCGGAAGCCGGGCCGGACAAUGACCGGCAGCAGAUGAGAAUCAUACACAUCUGUGGGACAGU
RNAcentral lists this non-coding RNA (99 nucleotides) under uncultured Dorea sp. Its description in RNAcentral is "NiCo riboswitch". It matches the Rfam family "NiCo (Nickel/Cobalt) riboswitch aptamer". The record is from RNAcentral. Lineage: Bacteria; Bacillati; Bacillota; Clostridia; Lachnospirales; Lachnospiraceae.